Hipposideros armiger (great roundleaf bat) is the source of this 1434-nucleotide long non-coding RNA. RefSeq lists it as uncharacterized. The transcript has 2 exons. The record is from RefSeq and is a predicted model, not a curated record. NCBI's taxonomy places the organism in Eukaryota, Metazoa, Chordata, Mammalia, Chiroptera, Hipposideridae.
CUGGCUGGUUCAGUUCCUUUGACUUGGGAUUCUUUAAAAUAGCUCCUUCCAGCUCAUGAAAGAAGAGCUACCUCAGGUAAUAAAGGGAAGUUGAUAAACUAGUUUGCUCAUAAUGGCUAAGCAAACAGAAUCAAAAGUUGCUUUAAAUAAAGCCAGGAAGCUGUCCCAGUGAGGAGGUGUUUCAUCUAAGAUGGAAGAGAAAGCUGAGGCAGCUGAACUUGACUGAUUCACAGGUAAUUUGAAACUCUGCCACUGGAUGGCUGUGCAGCAGUCCCACUAAACCUGCCAUCUCAAUCCUGCCUUCUUGAAGAGGGGCAGCCGUAAGACAAAACUGUCAUGAGGAAGCAGAGCUAAGGGCUGGCCUCUACACCCAAUCUCGAUAUUCUACAGUACAACCACCCUGUGAGGCCUGAUAACUCUGCCUGGCAUAUAAGAAAACAGACUCAAAGAUCAGAAGCCUUGAAUAAUGUCGCAGAGACUUAUAUCCACUACAUGUAGGGAUGAAGGGGGAAAAACCUGCUACACAAAUGCUUGAAGUGGAGACUCUCUGGGAGCUCCGGGGCCCAGGUGCUUCACUUCAAUGUGGAGCGAAGGAUGAGGCCUUCCCUUAGAUCUUGCGAUGAAGCCAGAGCAACUGGGCCAGCACUUACAAGCUCUCUUUUUCAGGGAUGGGUCACUUGCCCUGGCCCUGAAGCAGGUCAGCUGCAGUACAGCAGUCCCAGGACACUGGCUGAGAAGAGCCGAGCAGCCUCUCAAAUUGCUCCGCUUCAGCCUUCAGGGCCAGGGCUGGCGUUAGGAGGAGGCAGAGUAGAUGGAAUCUUCAAAUGGGGGUACAGGACAGGGUUCCUCCCCCCCCCCCCACACACACACUCACUGUGAGCUGUUGACUGUGCCUGAAACAUUACAGAAAAUAGAAACUUCCAUCAGAUGGGAAACCCUACCACCAUAUCUCGAAUCCUGCCUGCUGAGGACUCAUCUUCUCCAUCUUCUCUACCUUCCCUCAUGCUACAGGGAGAGUUUUCUUCUGCCUCUCAAAAGGUUAACACCUCUACACAUGCUCUGGACGCCAUGCCCUUUGACCCAGGAACUGUUCUUUUUAUUCUCUCUCCUGCAUCUUCCCCUUUUCCCUUUCUUUACUGGGUCACUGCACUAACAUACAGAAAGCUCUAGCUGUUUCCACAUUUAAAAACUAACAGCAAAACACCUUCCCUUGAUCUCAUAUGCUACUCUAGCCACUCUCCUAUUUCUCUGCUGUACAUGCAUGGCCAAAUUUAUGGAAGGAGUUGGUGUCUCCAUUUUGUCACCAUUUAAUCAUUCUCAAAAUUCUAAUUAUGUAUGAUUUUGUGAUUUCAUUGUGUAAUAUAUCAAAGAAUCUAUGUAACACGUGAAUUAUAAAGUGUAAUAAAAAUCAACAUCUAUAAGCCCACAACCCAA